This 134-nucleotide ribosomal RNA is filed under the name Vibrio parahaemolyticus. RNAcentral describes it as "partial 16S ribosomal RNA". It matches the Rfam family "Bacterial small subunit ribosomal RNA", at positions 1 to 115 of the family's 1533-position model. Lineage: Bacteria; Pseudomonadati; Pseudomonadota; Gammaproteobacteria; Vibrionales; Vibrionaceae. The record is from RNAcentral.
UUAAAUUGAAGAGUUUGAUCAUGGCUCAGAUUGAACGCUGGCGGCAGGCCUAACACAUGCAAGUCGAGCGGAAACGAGUUAUCUGAACCUUCGGGGAACGAUAACGGCGUCGAGCGGCGGACGGGUGAGUAAUG